Molecule: long non-coding RNA, 3442 nt
Organism: Manis pentadactyla (Chinese pangolin)
Lineage: Eukaryota; Metazoa; Chordata; Mammalia; Pholidota; Manidae
Exons: 2
Source: RefSeq, a predicted model, not a curated record
UCAGAGCAGAGCUGAGGCCUUCCCAUUCCCCACAAUGAUGGAUUCCCACUCCUCUGCCUGAUUCUGAGUCUCUGCCACAACCCAAGUGAUGGCGGUUGACUUGCUUGCUCCAACAAGCUCUGAAUAACUAUCCUUUUCUUCUUCUCACUUGGUUGGCCUUUCUUUACUGACAGUUCAUUGUGGAGACCUCCCAAGACCCAGAGUGAGCUGUCCAUUGCUGCAGACCCCAGCCCUCAGGCGAGUGUGUCCCCACCAAGCCCCCCGUGCCUUGCAGCCUGCAGCGUUCUGAGGCUGGGAUGAUGUGGUGUUCGACCUCGGUGGGAUCCACAUAUUCUUUCAGCUGUCUUUGGUGUUACAGCUUUGUGUUGUGCUGGGCAAAGGUGUGUCAUGACAAGAAUCAGAGGGUAGAAUGAGGAAUGGGCCUUAUGAGUCUUGUUUAAGCUGGCCUCUGGGACCAGUGAGUCUGACAUCUACCUGGAUGAACUUGGCUGAAGGCCACCGAUCAAACCAUCUGUCCAGGUCUGCUUCCAUCUAGAUCCUGUAUCCUGAGAGAGAAUUCUAUCUGGUUUUCCGAUGGCUGAGGAGAUUGUAGGGUCUGUGUUCAGAGGCAGCCAACUGUCAUUUUGGGGCCCCAAGACACGAGGUGCAUAAAUGUUUCAUUUCUACCAACCAUCACCACCUCUCUUGGGGUUAUCUAAACUUAAGUCCUCUCCUCUGGCAGGAAAAAUCCCUACUUCUCCCAUGUAUGCACUGCAGUCCUAAUUUUUGUGCCCUUUGUAAAUGGCACCUUCACCAAGGGUGAUUUGGGUCUUCAGUGCCAACUCCAGAGAACACUCGAUUUCAUCAAAAUGUUCAUUUGAGAGGUACCUUGGAAAAGUAGAGAAAUAAGAUUCCACGUGUCCAAUGAGCACCACAUUUUUUAUUGAUAUGCUGGGGUCUCCAAAAGAAAUUGUUUUUCUUUUUCUCCAUUGCUUUAUUUUUUUUUUAUUAAAAAAAUUUGACUUGAUUAUCUUUUGUGCAAAAAAGAGUAUGAAUCAAAAAUUGUUUCCCUAACAGAUUGGCCACAGCAAAUGAACAAUCUGACAAACUUAAGCAUGGAUAAACUAGACUCAUUUCCCCAGUGAACCCGCCUCUCUUGUCCUUCAGUUGUGUCCCUCUACCCACUUCUCCUUAUUACCUUUAUUCUUCUAAUGCCCCUCGUUCUGCACCUUCUCCCUCCUCUUCCCCUUGUCCAAGUCCCUUACCUUUUCCCAACAAUUCUCCUAAAACAUCAAAGUGUCAGUUGCCUCCAAGGAUCCCCUCCCUCGCAUCACUAGCAAUGCAGGCAAAUGUAGAAUUUAAACCUUGAAACUGAGCUUAAUUAAGGGUUAUAAAUAAUUAAAGGUUUCUUUCAUUUUAGGAGACUUCAACACACCACUCACUCCAAAGGCAGAUCAACCAGACAGAAAAUAAGUAAGGAGACGGAGGCACUGAACAACACAUUAGAACAGAUGGACCUAACGGACAUCUACAGAACACUCCACCCAAAAGCAGCAGGAUACACAUUCUUCUCAAGGGCACAUGGAACACUUUCCAGAAUAGAUCACAUACUAGGCCACAAAUAGAGUCUCAGCAAAUUCAGACUGAUUCAAACUGUACCAACCAACUUCUAAGAUCACAAAGGUACGAAAUUAGAACUAAAUUGUACAAAGAAAACAAAAUGGCUCACAAACACAUGGAAGUUUAACAAACAUGCUCCUAAAUAAUCAAUGGAUCAAUGACCAAAUUAAGACAGAGAUCAAGCAAUAUACGGAAACAAAUAAAAACAACAGCUCAAUGCCCCAACUUCUGUGUGACGCAAUAAAGGCAGUUCUAAAAGGAAAGUAUAUAGCAAUGCCAGCCUGUUUAAAGAAGGAAGAACAAUCCCAAAUAAACAGUGUAAAUUCACAAUUAUUGAAACCGAAAAAAGAACAAAUGAGGCCCAUACGCAGUAGAAGGAGGGACAUUGUCGGGUCCCUUCCCUGUCUCUGACCCGCAGAUGAGGGAAGAGAAACGAUUGUUCAUCGAAGAUCUUAACGACCAGCCAGGGGACUCAAGGCAUGACAGCAAAAGAGUGGUGCCGAGACGGCAUCUCUCAUAUUUAUUCAUGAAAUGGUUGUUAACAACAAUAUUGGGGUUUCCAUGCACAAUCAUUAACUAAGUCCAACUCUCAACAGUUUCACCUUCUGAAGGAUAACGAACAAAUACUCAUGGUGAACGAACACAGAAACUCUUUCUGUCUUGGCUACCGUUUCUGUCUUGACUACGAAUCAUAAACUACAAACAAACCAUCAAGGCAAAUGUGCUUAUACAUAUGAUUUUUAUACUUUCUAUAUAAAUUCCAUAUAACUUCCCACAGACAUAAUAAAGAUCAGAGAAGAAAUAAAUAAAAUUGAGAACAAUAAAACAAUAGAAAGAUUUAAUGAAAGCAAGAGCUGGUUCUUUGAGAAGAUAAACAAAAUAGAUAAACCCCUAGCCAGACUUAUCAAGAAAAAAAGAGAAUCUACACACAUAAACAGAAUCAGAAAUGAGAAAGGAAAAAUCACUAUGGAUGCCACUGAAAUACAAAGAAUUACUACAGAAUACUAUGAAAAUCUAUAUGCUAACAAGCUGGAUAACCUAGAAGAAAUGGACAACUUUCUAGAAAAAUACAACCUUCCAAGACUGGCCCAGGAAGAAACAGAGAAACUGAACAGACCCAUUACCACCAAUGAAAUUGAAUUGGAAAUCAAAAAACUACCCAAGAACAAAAACCCAAGAACAGAUGGUUUCACCACUGAAUUUUACCAGAAGACAGCAUACCCAUUCUCCUUAAAGUUUUCCAAAAAACAGAAGAGAAGGGGAUACUUCCAAACUCAUUCUACAAAGCCAGCAUCACUCUACUACCAAAACCAGGCAAAGACAACACAAAAAAAGAAAACUACAGACCAAUAUCCCUGAUGAACAUAAAUGCAAAAAUACUCAACAAAAUACUAGCAAACCAUAUUCAAAAAUACAUCAGGAGGAUCAUACACCAUGAUCAAGUGGGAUUCAUCUCAGGGAUGCAAGGAGAAACCUGGACUGGAUCACUGACGGAAUAACCAAGCGGCACUUGGAGGUCUUCGAGUGUUGAGGUUUAUUUUACACCGGCGGGCUCAGAGGGAAGUAAUCUCCCAAGGUCUGAGCCCUGAGCACAAGCAAGGGGAGCAAUUUAUAUUAUUUUGAUAUGUGGCAUUUUGGCAUGUGCGGGACAAAAGAGCCUGGAGGAGAGGAGUAGGAAGCUGGGAGUGCUUUGCCAACUGGAGGAAAAAAGUGGUUUGCUGACCUUCAAGGCUGUGUUGAAUAUUUUCCUUAUCAAAUGUAGUAACCACAUUGUUUUUCAUGUGAAACCUUCAUAAGAGUGUAUAUCAAUAAUACCUUAAUUAAAAAACUGUGAUAAAGUAAA